CCUCCUUCCUGCUCAGCCCAAAGGCAGGAGUCAUGGAACCCCAGGAAAGGACGGAACAGAACAGGACAGGGCCCCCAGCCCCAUCUUUAUCUCACCGGCUGCUGCUGGCUGCCAAGCCUCCCCUGAAUGGGGGAGGGUGGUCUGUGUGAGUCAGCGGAGGCACGAAGUGGAGGAAGACGGGAGCCUCUGCCAGGCCCGUUGAGCGUGGCCUCAGAAAUGCGCCGCUGGGUUAGGGUCUCCCCGACCGAGGCUCGAAUCCAGGUCGAAGGGUCGCCGGAGCGAUGGUUGGAGAAUGUGGAAGGAGCUGGAGGACACCCGAGUAUUCUUAAAGCAAUCCCCAUGGUGAGUAAGAAGGGGAGCUCGGAAGCAUCAGGGUAACAAUGGGAUUGGUUUGGGGUCUGGUUCCUUCCACCUUGGAACCUUUUCAAGCUAAUGAGGAGGGAGGAGAGUAUAACGAAGUAACAGAAGAGGUUACAGAGCAGGUUUGUUUGCCAGCUAAAGCUAAAGCGGCAAAGGAGGGAGACGUUCAUCCCUACCCUUCUGCACCCCCUACUUAUUAUUUUGAAGAAAAAGGGCGGCCUGACCCUCCAGAUCUUUCUUUUCCGGAGGAUACUGGGCGAAAAGUAGUUGCUCCAGUGACUGAGCAGCACCUCGAGCGACCUCUCUUAGUUCUAUUCAGGCAGGAAUUCAGCAAGCUAGACGAGGGGGUGAUUUAGAGGCUUGACAGUUCCCUGUUAGAAUACACCCCCCAGAUCAACAGGGAAAUAUUAUAGCUACAUUUGAGCCUUUCCCUUUUAAAUUACUCAAAGAAUUUAAACAAGAUAUUCAUACUAAAAAAGAAUGUAGAAAAUAUCAAAGAAAACUGCUGAGCCUGAAAUAUGUCCAAAAUGUAAAAAAGGAAAACAUUGGGCUAAUCAGUGUCACUCUAAGUUUGAUAAAGCUGGAAACCCAAUUUCGGGAAAUGCCAUGAGGUGCCCGUCCCGGGCCCGGUUCUAAAUCAGGGCAUUUCCAGCUGAGGCCCUUCCCUCACCCCCGUACAAUGUCUGUCCCCCGCCGCAGCCGGUAGUGCCGCAGUAGAUUGAUGCUGCACGAAAGCCGUGAGCUUUCUGCCAGGGGAACACCCGCGAAAGGUCUCAACAGGAGUCUGUGGACCCGUGCCAGCGGGGCAAUAGGAUUACUUUUAGGAAGGUCUAGUUUAAGUUUAAAAGGGGACAAAUACAUACAGGAGUCAUUGAUUCGGAUCACGAUGGGGAAAUUCAAACUGUUAUAUCUACUUCUGUUCCCUGGAAAGCAGAGCCAGGAGAAUGUGUAUCACAGCUCCUGAUUGUGCCGUAUGUGGGAAUGGGGAAAAGUGGAACUAAAGGAACAGGAGGAUUUGGAAGCACAAAUAAACAAGGCAAAGUGGCUUAUUGGGUCAAUCAAAUUGCUGAUAAACGUCCUACCUGUGAAAUAACUAUUCAGGGAAAGAAAUGUAAAGGUUUGGUAGAUACAGGAGCAGACAUUUCAAUCAUUUCUCUACAGCACUGGCCAUCCGCAUGGCCAAGUCAACCCGCUCAAUUUAACAUAGUUGGAGUUGGUAAAGCCCCUGAAGUAUAUCAAAGUAGUUAUAUUUUGCAUUGUGAGGGGCCCGAUGGACAACCUGGGAAUAUUCAACCAAUUAUAACUUCUGUGCCUAUAAAUUUAUGGAGAAGAGAUUUAUUACAACAAUGGGGAGCACAAGUUCUAACUCCAGAACAAUUAUAUAGCCCUCAAAGUCAACAUAUCAUGCAUGAAAUGGGGCAUGUCCCUGGUAGGUGACUAGAAAAAAAAUUUGCAAGGUUUGAAAGAACCACUUCAAUUGGAAAGACAAGUUCCCGCCAAGGCUUAGGAUAUCAUUUUUGAUGGUGGCCACUGUUAAGCCUCCAGAACCUACACCUUUAAAACGGUUAACAGAAAAGCCAAUUUGGAUAGAAAAAUGGCCGCUAAGUAAAUAGAAACUGGAGGCUUUAGAGAAAUUAGUUACUGAACAAUUAGAAAAUGGGCACAUAGCGCCAACAUUUUCCCCUUGGAAUUCUCCAGUUUUCAUAAUUUAAAAAAAAAUCAGGUAAAUAGAAAAUGUUAACCGACUUAAGAGCCAUUAAUUCAGUUACACAACCUAUGGGAGCAUUACAGCCAGGAUUGCCUUCUCCUGCUAUAAUUCCAAAAAGUUGGCCUUUAAUAGUCAUAGAUUUAAAAGACUGUUUCUUUACUAUCCCCUUAGCUAAGCAAGACUGUGAAUGGUUUGCAUUUACCAUUCCUGCAGUCAACAACCUGCAGCCUGCUAAGUGUUUUCAUUGUUUUACAGAUGGGUUUAGUAAUGGUAAAGCUUCUUAUUCUGGCUCAAAAAGUAGUUUUCCAGAUGCCUUAUAAAAAGCAAAGUUUGUAGCUGUAAUUGAGGUAUUGACUGCUUUUGAUAGCCUAUUAAUGUGAUUUCUGAUUCUUCAUAUGUGGUUCAUUCCACACAGUUAAUUAAAAAUGCUCAGUUACUAUUUCAUACAGAUAAACAACUGAUGACAAAAACAAAAAAGGGGGAGAGAUAGGGAUUAUGGGACAGUCCAUACACAAUUGAAUCUAGCAUUAUUAACUUUAGAUUUUUUGAACCUGCCCAAAGGCCAGAUGUCAUCAGCAGCUGAACAGCAUUCCAGAAACCAGCUGCAAAGACAGAAGCAGAACAACUGGUUUGGUGGAGAGAUCUGAUAACAAAAAGUUGGGAAACAGGUAAAAUAAUAACUUGGGGUAGAAGUUAUGCUUGUGUUUCUCCAGGCCAAAAUCAACAGCUGAUCUGGAUACCAUCAAGACACCUGAAAUCUUAUCAUGAGCCAGAUGCUGAGGAAGAGACUCCGGGAGGAUCCCGAGGACGGCCCAGUUGCAGCCAUGUUGAGACUGACGCUGAGGAGGACCCCAACUGUCACGAGCAACACCUGUCGAACACAGCCACCCACCUGGGGACAGAUCAAGAAGCUGUCACAGAUGGCAGAAGAAAACCUGAGGAAAGCGGGACAACCAGUCACAAUGAGUAAUUUCAUGGUAGCUAUGAUAGCAGUUAUCACCACUGCUGUGAGUAUUCCUUCAACAAGGGCUGACACACAGAACAAUUAUACUUAUUGGGCAUAUUUAUCAACCUUGGCUGGCAAUAAUGCCUAGAUGUAAUCACUCUAUGACACAGUUACACAUGCUUUCUGAUCUCAGUAUUUACCAUAAUCUGCUCCUAUAAUUGAGGCAUACCGCCCUUAAAAACCUAUUUGUAAACAAAAUUGAACCUGGCCAGAAAAAAUGAACGUACUUGUUUAGGAAGAUUGCAUUGCAGAACAGGCAGAGGUGCUGCGCAACGAUUCCUAUGGAAUCACUGUUAAUUGGUCCCCUAAGGGGAUGUUUAGCUUAAAUUGCACCUCUCAGCCUGCGUGCCACGGCCACACUAUGUGCAGCUGGUCUGAACAAAACGGUCAGAUGGUAGAAACAAUAAGAAGUAUGGCAAAAGUUCCUAUUAUCUGGAACCAUGCUGGUAUAGUGGCACCUCAACCUCAAACGAUAAGGCCCGCUGUAGGAGCUAAACAUUAAGGAUUUGUAGAAACUAUUAAUAGCUCUUAAUAAGAUCAAAAUUGGGGAAAGAAUAAAGCAUCUAGAAGGACACUCUACAAGCUUUUUGGAUACAGUAAAAUUAAAAGAAAAAAUAUUUAAAGCAUCCCAGGCACACCUGACCUUAAUACCAGCAACUGGAGUGCUUAAAGGAACUGCAGACAGAUUUGCAGCUAGUAACCCAUUAAAAUGGAUAAAAAUACUUGGAAGCUCUGUAAUUUCAAUGAUGUGAUUGUGCUUUUAAUCUGUGUUGUUUGUCUUUGUAUAGUCUGCAGAUGUGGAUCCUAACUCCUGCGAGAAGUAACUCACAGUGACAAAGCUGCCUUUGCUUUUAUCGAGUUGCAAAUCAAAGAAGGGGGGACAUGUUGGGAACAGGCCCCCCAAGAUCUGGCCAUAAACUGGCCCCAAAACUGGCUAUAAACAAAAUCUGCAGCACUGUGACACGUUCAUGAUGGCCGUGACGCCCACGCUGGAAGGUUGUGGGUUUACCGGAAUGAGGGCAAGGGACACCUGGCCCACCCAGGGCGGAAAACCGCUUAAAGGCGUUCUUAAACCACAAACAAUAGCCUGAGUGAUCUGUGCCUUAAAGACACACUCCUGCUGCAGAUAACUAACCAGACCCACCACUUUACUUCGGCCCAUCCCUUCAUUUCCCAUAAGGGAUACUUUUAGUUAAUCUAUUAUCUAUAGAAACAAUGCUAAUGACUGACUUACUAUUAAUAAAUAUGUGGGUAAACCUCUGUUGGGGCUCUCAGCUCUGAAGGCUGUCAGACCCCUGAUUUCCCACUUCGCACCUCUGAAUUUCUGUGUGUGUGUCUUUAAUUCCUCUAGCGCCCCUGGUUUAAGAUCUCCCUGACCGAGCUGGUCUCAGCAAGCAGAGGGUGCCCCUGCACCAGGAAAGGGGGGCACAGGAAGGCCCUGCAAGUGCAGCUGCAGCCAACAGGAACAGCAGGACACCUUCCAGAGGACAGGACAUCGAUGUCAUCUGUAACUUCCAGUGCACUGGGACACACAGCUGUAUCUCCCCAUGCUCGCCUCCUGCCCCUCCCGGUGUGAGGACUUAGCCUGGAUCACCUCCUCCAGGACAAGAACGACCUACCGGCAUCUAUCCAUCCAAUCUCCCCACCCAUCCAUCACUGCCUCUGUGCAUGCAUCCUUCCAACCAUUCAUACACGCCUCUGUGCAUGCAUCUGUCUGUCUGUCCCUGCCUCUGUGCCUGCAUCUGUCCAUCCAUCCCUGCCUCUGUGCCAGUAUCUGUCCAUCUAUCCCUGCCUCUGUGUAUGCAUCUGUCUGUCCAUCCAUCCCUGCCUCUGUGCCUGCAUCUGUCCCUCCGUCCAUCCCUGCCUCUGUGCAUGCAUCCUUCUGUACAUCCCUGCCUCUGUGCAUUCAUCUGUCUGUCCAUCCCUGCCUCUGUGCAUGCAUCUAUCCAUCCAUUCAUCCUUGCCUCUGCCCAUGCAUCCGUCCAUACAUCCCUGCCUCUGUGCAUGCAUCUGUCCAUCCAUCCAUCCCUGCCCCUGUGCAUCCAUCUAUCCAUUCAUCCCUGCCUCUGUGUAGGCACCUGUCCAUCCAUCCCUACCUGUUUGCACUCAUCUGUCUCUCCAUUCCUGCCUCUGUGCAUGCAUCUGUCCAUCCAUCCAUCCCUGCCUCUGUGCAUGCAUCUGUCCAUCUAUCCAUCCCUCUCUCUGUGCAUGCCUCUGUCCAUCUAUCCAUCCCUGCCUCUGUGCAUGCAUCUGUCAUGCUAUCCAACCCUGCCUCUGUGCAUGCAUCUGUCAGUCUAUCCAUCCUCCAUCCCUUUCUUUGUAUCAGCUUAUCCUGUGCUGAGUGCUCACAACUCCUUCAUCCUAAGACGCUCAUUGGACCUAUUCCCUCCCCCGACUCCACGCCGCUCUCUGCCCUCCCUUCCUGGUCAAGUUCUCCAGCCAGUGGUCUCAACUCAAUCUUCUCUUCCUCCGCUCCUCUCAUGCCUAAGCCCACUGCCGCCUAAAUUCUUCCC
RNAcentral lists this long non-coding RNA (5587 nucleotides) under Homo sapiens (human). RNAcentral's name for it is "non-protein coding lnc-ZSCAN10-1:5". The record is from RNAcentral. Lineage: Eukaryota; Metazoa; Chordata; Mammalia; Primates; Hominidae.